This 403-nucleotide ribosomal RNA is filed under the name uncultured bacterium. RNAcentral's name for it is "partial 16S ribosomal RNA". It matches the Rfam family "Bacterial small subunit ribosomal RNA", at positions 30 to 526 of the family's 1533-position model. The record is from RNAcentral.
AUUGAACGCUGGCGGCAGGCCUAACACAUGCAAGUCGAGCGAGCGGCGGACGGGUGAGUAAUGUAUGGGGACUGCCCGAUAGAGGGGGAUAACUACUGGAAACGGUAGCUAAUACCGCAUACUAUCGGAUAACCCAUAUGGGAUUAGCUAGUAGGUGAGGUAAUGGCUCACCUAGGCGACGAUCCCUAGCUGGUCUGAGAGGAUGAUCAGCCAAACUGGGACCGAGAAACGGCCCCAACUCCUACGGAGGCAACAGUGGGGAAUAUUGGACAAUGGGCGCCAGCCUGAUGCAGCCAUGCCGGGUGUAUGAAGAAGGCCCUAGGGUUGUAAAGUUAUUUCAGUCGGGAGGCGUUACCGACCGAAGAAGCACCGGCUAACUCCGUGCCAGCAGCCGCGGUAAUUC